CACGUAGGGCGCAAGGCGUUGUCCGGAAUUAUUGGGCGUAAAGGAGCUCGUAGGCGGGUCUGUUGCGUCCGCUGUGAAAAACCCGGGGCUUAACCCCUGGCCUUGCAGUGGAUACGGACAAGACUAGAGGUAGGUAGGGGAGAAUGGAAUUCCCGGUGUAGCGGUGAAAUGCGCAGAUAAUCGGGAGGAACACCUAUGGCGAAGGCAGCUCGCUGGGACGUUACUGACGCUGAGACGCGAAAGCGUGGGGAGCAAACAGG
Molecule: ribosomal RNA, 260 nt
Filed under: uncultured bacterium
Lineage: Bacteria
Description: partial 16S ribosomal RNA
Rfam family: Bacterial small subunit ribosomal RNA
Source: RNAcentral